Long non-coding RNA from Bos taurus (domestic cattle), 409 nucleotides. The record is from Ensembl. Lineage: Eukaryota; Metazoa; Chordata; Mammalia; Artiodactyla; Bovidae.
CAGACGCAGCAGGAAUUGGCCAGGAGUAUAACUAGAGAACUAACAAAAGAGUGAAGACGGUGUGCAGAGUGAAGGUACAGGCAGAAACGCUUCACAGUUCGUGUAUUCCAAGAACAGAGAUGCUCCGCCAGCUCACUCUUCAACCUUGUUCCCAGCAGCUGCCAGUGCUGCAUAUAGAGAGGACACAGGGCUCCAGGGAGGUGGAGGGGCUUGCCUGAGAUCAUAAUGCAAGUUAUUAAUGGAAGCUAGUAGAAAAUUAAUGUAAGACAUGCUGGAGCAAAACAGGAGCAAAAAGCACUGAAGCUUGCAGAGGCCACUUCCACCUAGUGAAGUCCCCGCAUGCAAGAUUGCCACCCAGAAACAGAGAGAGCCAUGGGGCGCUCUACUUGGGCAUCCUGAAAUAAUCCCA